AUCUGUGACCAAAUCAACCAGAAUGGUUCCCCAUCUCAUCUGACAUCGUAAGCUGAACUCAGGUGAGCCUGGUUAGCACUUGAAUGAUUCACCGCCAAUGCUUGCCAGGUGUUGUAGGCU
Molecule: ribosomal RNA, 120 nt
Filed under: Petromyzon marinus (sea lamprey)
Lineage: Eukaryota; Metazoa; Chordata; Hyperoartia; Petromyzontiformes; Petromyzontidae
Source: RNAcentral